Molecule: ribosomal RNA, 822 nt
Filed under: uncultured bacterium
Lineage: Bacteria
Description: bacterial SSU rRNA
Rfam family: Bacterial small subunit ribosomal RNA
Source: RNAcentral
UGAAUACGAUUCUUCGGAUGAGGAUUCUUGCGACUGAGCGGCGGACGGGUGAGUAACGCGUGGGCAACCUGCCUUACACAGGGGGAUAACAGUUAGAAAUGACUGCUAAUACCGCAUAAGACCACAAAACCGCAUGGUUUGGUGGUAAAAACUCCGGUGGUGUAAGAUGGGCCCGCGUCUGAUUAGGUGGUUGGUGGGGUAACGGCCUACCAAGCCGACGAUCAGUAGCCGACCUGAGAGGGUGACCGGCCACAUUGGGACUGAGACACGUACCAGACUCCUACGGGAGGCAGCAGUGGGGAAUAUUGCACAAUGGGGGAAACCCUGAUGCAGCGACGCCGCGUGAGCGAUGAAGUAUUUCGGUAUGUAAAGCUCUAUCAGCAGGGAAGAAAAUGACGGUACCUGACUAAGAAGCCCCGGCUAACUACGUGCCAGCAGCCGCGGUAAUACGUAGGGGGCAAGCGUUAUCCGGAUUUACUGGGUGUAAAGGGAGCGUAGACGGCUUGGCAAGCCAGAUGUGAAAGGCUGGGGCUCAACCCCAGGACUGCAUUUGGAACUGUCAUGCUAGAGUGUCGGAGAGGCAGGCGGAAUUCCUAGUGUAGCGGUGAAAUGCGUAGAUAUUAGGAGGAACACCAGUGGCGAAGGCGGCCUGCUGGACGAUGACUGACGUUGAGGCUCGAAAGCGUGGGGAGCAAACAGGAUUAGAUACCCUGGUAGUCCACGCCGUANACGAUGACUACUAGGUGUCGGGUGGCAAANCCAUUCGGUGCCGCAGCCAACGCAAUAAGUAGUCCACCUGGGGAGUACGUUCGCAAGAAUGAA